UUUAAGCCUAUAUUAUAAGUUUUUGAAGGUUUCUAACUAUUCUGCAUUUUUUUUGUUGUUGUGGAAAAGACCGAGAUAGCCGUAGCAGUCGAGGGAGGCACUACGAUCGUGAUGAUUCUGGACACCGUAGGUCACCACCAAGACGCGACUUAUCACCUCGUGAUCAUGGAAGGAGGUCACCUCGUGAUCAUGGAAGAAGCUCUAGAAGAGAUCGGUCUUACUCUAUUCUCAUGCUGAUGCAAUAAGUAUUGAAUAUAUUGGCAACAGUCACUAAGUGAAACAUAGUUUGAUCAUGUUCCAAAUGAUCUGAUCCAACUAACCAUAAAGCAACUAUUGCCUCAACUCUUAACUAGUCAAAAGAGGCACUAACAACUAUUAGUUGACUGUUCUUCAGUUCAGCCUAGGAUUCAUUCAGUGGCUUUUCGUAACUUGUAGUUUGUGUCCAUUACAUGAGUUUGAUGUACUUUGUGUUAUCUUCAAGUCCCAUAGAAAGCGCCCUAGAACUCCCACCCCAGGACAAUAUAUUGGCUUGAAACGCUCCAAAGACAAUGGUAAGUGAACACUUUUGAAGCCUCUAUAAAAAGUUAUCGAGUCCCUUUGACAACUGAAAAGGUUUCUAACUGUUCUACACUCUUUUCUGUUGUAGAAAAAGACGGAGAUGGCCAUAGCAGUCGAGGGAAGCACGCUCAGGUCCCUGAUCAUAUCCACGUUGAGAUCCAGAUCCAGGUCCAUGCCGAGGAAUAGGUCUAGGUCAAGACCUUUGCCAAGGCCUGUUUCUCCAUCAACAAGGCGUGGAAGGUUAGCUCUAGCUUUCUUUCCCCGUCUGAGACUGCAUUGUUUUGUAGUCUGCACUCUGCAGUGUUUGGUUUCUGUGUUCAUUUAAUGAUCCUUAGAUUGAUAGGUCUGAAAUUGAAAACCCUGGUAACACUCUCUACGUGACCGGCCUAUCCACAAAAGUCACUGACAAGGAUCUUGAAGCACAUUUCUCCAAGCAAGGAAAUGUGAUAAGCAUCUAAACUCUGAUCCUCCUUCCUGAUUAGUAUGUUUCGCUCUGCGUUUUUUUUUCAAGCAUAGAAUCAUUACUCAUGUUGUUAAGUGAUUUUCAUUACCACAGGUUGCGUCCUGCGUUCUAAUGCUGGACCCGCACACCCGUGAGUCUCGUGGUUAUGCCUUUGUUACAAUGGAUAGUCUUAGAGAUGCUGAGCGGUGCAUUAAGUAUCUCAACAAAACUUUACUAGAUGGCAGAUACAUAAAAGUCGAAAAGGUAACAAAAAAUUCAUGCUCUACUGAUUCUCAUGCUGAUGCAAUAAGUAUUGAAUAUAUUGGCAACAGUCACUAAGUGAAACAUAGUUUGAUCAUGUUCCAAAUGAUCUGAUCCAACUAACCAUAAAGCAACUAUUGCCUCAACUCUUAACUAGUCAAAAGAGGCACUAACAACUAUUAGUUGACUGUUCUUCAGUUCAGCCUAGGAUUCAUUCAGUGGCUUUUCGUAACUUGUAGUUUGUGUCCAUUACAUGAGUUUGAUGUACUUUGUGUUAUCUUCAAGUCCCAUAGAAAGCGCCCUAGAACUCCCACCCCAGGACAAUAUAUUGGCUUGAAACGCUCCAAAGACAAUGGUAAGUGAACACUUUUGAAGCCUCUAUAAAAAGUUAUCGAGUCCCUUUGACAACUGAAAAGGUUUCUAACUGUUCUACACUCUUUUCUGUUGUAGAAAAAGACGGAGAUGGCCAUAGCAGUCGAGGGAAGCACGACGAUCCUGAUGAUUCUGGACACCGUUGGUUACCAAGACGCCACAAUUCACCUCGUGAUGAAAGGAAGUCACCAAGACGCGACCAUUCACCUGAUGGUGGAAGAAGCCCAGAGAAAAGGUAUCAUCAACCCAGUGGCUUGAAAUGACCUGUGUUUAGGUGUCUUGACAAAGGAAUUCAAGAACUUAUUUUGUUGAUUUGAGGUUGUGAUUGAUCAUCAUCAUCAU
This 1975-nucleotide long non-coding RNA is filed under the name Brassica napus (rape). Its description in RNAcentral is "long non-coding RNA (BNAP_LNC007005)". Lineage: Eukaryota; Viridiplantae; Streptophyta; Magnoliopsida; Brassicales; Brassicaceae. The record is from RNAcentral.